This 475-nucleotide unclassified non-coding RNA is filed under the name Hevea brasiliensis (rubber tree). The record is from RNAcentral. Lineage: Eukaryota; Viridiplantae; Streptophyta; Magnoliopsida; Malpighiales; Euphorbiaceae.
UAUGCCCUUAAGCCAUAGAGGGGUUAAUGGUUUAGGAGGUUUGGGAGCUACAAUUAUUGACGCUUUAGACACGGCUAUGAUUAUGGGAGCUGAUGAAGUCGUUCAUGAAGCAGGCUCGUGGAUUGAGAAACAUCUUCCUGAGAGGAUUGAAAAGAAAGGCCAAGUAAAUCUCUUUGAAACUACAAUACGACUUCUAGGUGGUCUUUUGAGUGCUUAUCACUUAAGUGGUGGAAGUCAAGGGAGAAUUCCAGAACAGAAAGGGCCUAAUCCAUCUAUUUACCUGGAAAAUGCUAAGAACUUGGCUGAUCGCCUACUUACUGCUUUUACAGCAAGUCCAUCCGAUAUUCCAUACAGUGAUGUAGUCCUGCGUGAAAAGUCUGCACAUCCUGCUCCUGAUGGUCUGAGUAGCACUGCGGAAGUUGCAACUAUACAGCUUGAAUUUAAUUAUCUUAGUUAUUUAACAGGUGAUCCAAAG